UACAGCUCUUUUAGACCUUGUUUAGCAAGUUUUUUGGUCAGCACUGGAA
RNAcentral lists this small nuclear RNA (49 nucleotides) under Cervus elaphus hippelaphus. The record is from RNAcentral. Lineage: Eukaryota; Metazoa; Chordata; Mammalia; Artiodactyla; Cervidae.